GACGAACGCUGGCGGCGUGCUUAACACAUGCAAGUCGAACGGAAAGGCCCUGCUUUUGUGGGGUGCUCGAGUGGCGAACGGGUGAGUAACACGUGAGUAACCUGCCCUUGACUUUGGGAUAACUUCAGGAAACUGGGGCUAAUACCGGAUAGGAGCUCCUGCUGCAUGGUGGGGGUUGGAAAGUUUCGGCGGUUGGGGAUGGACUCGCGGCUUAUCAGCUUGUUGGUGGGGUAGUGGCUUACCAAGGCUUUGACGGGUAGCCGGCCUGAGAGGGUGACCGGCCACAUUGGGACUGAGAUACGGCCCAGUCUCCUACGGGAGGCAGCAGUGGGGAAUAUUGCACAAUGGGCGGAAGCCUGAUGCAGCAACGCCGCGUGCGGGAUGACGGCCUUCGGGUUGUGAACCGCUUUCGCCUGUGACGAAGCGUGAGUGACGGUAAUGGGUAAAGAAGCACCGGCUAACUACGUG
Molecule: ribosomal RNA, 468 nt
Filed under: uncultured bacterium
Lineage: Bacteria
Description: partial 16S ribosomal RNA
Rfam family: Bacterial small subunit ribosomal RNA
Source: RNAcentral